GCGGGGGUUUAAUUGGUUUACACAUCAUCAUUCAAAGGCCCAGCUGAGAUGGAAGAGUUGUCCUGUAAAUUUUUGUGCGGACAGAUUGACAGGACCAUGACAUCUCACCAUAAAUGCUAAGAUAACAGAAGGGAGCAGAGAAUACGAGUAAGCACACCCAAGUACUGUAAAACAUCUUAACUGGACAUAAUUUAAGGUCUAAUGAAUGUUGCGAUUAAGCAAUCCUUGGAACAACAAGUAAAGAUCUUUGUUAUCCAUCCCAAAUAUCUCUUCUGCUUUCCUUAAGGUUUCUUCUCGAGUCUGCUUUUGAGCAUUCAGCUCCUUGAUGUUAGCCAGAAAUGAACUAAACUGUUCAUAUGAUAGACGACCCCUGGCCUGGCGAAAGAACUCCUUUCCAUCAAUUCGUGGAGUGCGUGCUGGCAAUGGUCGUCCACGGGGAGGAGAGUUUGCUGCUGAUGACUGCUGGCUUGAUGGGUACCAUGAAGAGAGUGUAGUCCGUCCCUCAUUAUAAGGUUUUGUGGGAGAUGUUGUGCCAGAGGUUCUCUGAGGAGAUCCAGCAGCAGAAAAACCUCUAGGGGACACACUUGAAGAAAUGAUUUUUGGGGUUCCUGUUGGAGUAAGCCUUGGUGUGAUAUAUGGAGUAAUAGAAAAUCUUUGCCCACCAUGUCUUGAAGCAUCACCGACUGUGUUUCCUGUAUCAGUAGAGCCGCUAUGAGAAUUUUGGGAUGCAUAGCCAUUCAUCCCCUCAUCUUUGUCAGGAUACGCUUUGGGAACUGACUGAUCACAAGUGCCAAUAUCAACAGUUUCAGCUGAUAAAUUAUCAUCAUUUAGUGAUUGCAUCAAUUGCCUCUUAAAGGUCUCCAACUUUGCCAAAUCACAGCUGAGUUUCUUCACACUCAUCACCAAUGAAUCCCGCUCCUUUGAAAGUUUCAUAUUUUCAUCAAGGCUAAUCUUCAACCUGGACUCCGCCCCUAGAUGCGCGCGUUGCAUGUUAGACGCUUUCUCUUCAAGUUCAUAUAUAAUUCGAUCCUGCUCGUAAAUUUUCUGCCUCAUGCGACCCGUCUCGGCCUCCAGCUUCGAUACUCGCGAGGCGAUGGCCAUGGACGUGAUCUUACGGGCCAGAUCUAGCUGGUCGUAAGGGUCCGUCGGCAUCACAGCCAAGAUCUCAUCCGGUAAGUGGAAGUCGGUCCCUCCGCCGGCACUGUGGAUACUGCCAUGCUGCGACAUACCUAAUCCCUUCCCUCCUUGUGACUGAAAAUGACAGCGACAAAUGCCUUAAUGUUACUGCUAAUGGCAUG
Molecule: unclassified non-coding RNA, 1298 nt
Filed under: Hevea brasiliensis (rubber tree)
Lineage: Eukaryota; Viridiplantae; Streptophyta; Magnoliopsida; Malpighiales; Euphorbiaceae
Source: RNAcentral